UCGGAAAACGUUCUUAGCUGCAGAGGAAGCAAAGAGAGGGAAAAAGUCAGAAAAACAAAACAAAAACACACACACCAUUCCUUGGCCAGAGGAUCGUCUUUUUGGAACUGGCAUCUGCAUGAACCCUGAGGUGAAGCGGAAACCGUCAUGUACAAAGUGGGACGAAUGAACAGCAGACCUGAAGGACAGAGAAGGCGCUCUUCUGAUGGACGUCCAGCGUCUCUGACCACAGAGUGCUGUUCCUGCGUUUGGUGGGAGUCGGAGCCGGGG
Molecule: long non-coding RNA, 270 nt
Organism: Poecilia reticulata (guppy)
Lineage: Eukaryota; Metazoa; Chordata; Actinopteri; Cyprinodontiformes; Poeciliidae
Source: RefSeq, a predicted model, not a curated record